GACGAACGCUGGCGGCGUGCUUAACACAUGCAAGUCGAACGGAAAGGCCCUGCAGUUGUGGGGUGCUCGAGUGGCGAACGGGUGAGUAACACGUGAGUAACCUGCCCUUGACUUUGGGAUAACUUCAGGAAACUGGGGCUAAUACCGGAUAGGAGCUCCUGCUGCAUGGUGGGGGUUGGAAAGUUUCGGCGGUUGGGGAUGGACUCGCGGCUUAUCAGCUUGUUGGUGGGGUAGUGGCUUACCAAGGCUUUGACGGGUAGCCGGCCUGGGAGGGUGACCGGCCACAUUGGGACUGAGGUACGGCCCAGACUGCUACGGGAGGCAGCAGUGGGAAAUAUUGCACAAUGGGCGGAAGCCUGAUGCAGCAACGCCGCGUGCUGGAUGACGGCCUUCGGGUUGUAAACCGCUUUCGCCUGUGACGAAGCGUGAGUGACGGUAAUGGGUAAAGAAGCACCGGCUAACUACGUG
Molecule: ribosomal RNA, 468 nt
Filed under: uncultured bacterium
Lineage: Bacteria
Description: partial 16S ribosomal RNA
Rfam family: Bacterial small subunit ribosomal RNA
Source: RNAcentral